GCCGAAUAGAAAAUCCGCCAAAGGGAUAAGCUUGCGUCCACUCUUUUUCAUGUGCGGUUCCACGAUGGGGAAUUUUCUAAUCGCCGUCGUUAUCCAAUUUGGCUCUGCCUUUACAAAUCAAUCGAUUCUUUCUGCUUCCACCGCCCAGCGCCCAUCAUAGCCGCCGAGACAUCGAGGACUUGCAACCCGUGAGCGCUGACUUGCCUCGCGAUGGGGUUCGCCGCUGUGCGCUGGACGCCGCCUGAGGAACUGCGCCGCAUCCCCAUGGAGGGCUGCAACCUCGCGCCGCUGCGCCCUGCUGCCGGCCGGGAGGGCAAGGCCCUGCCGUCGUGCUCGAUGGGUGCCAUGCCUUGGAUGCUGCGGGGUGGCCGUGGCUACCAGCGUAUAUCGAUGCCGCGAAUCGCGACGCGGCGAUCCGUGUCGGGUGGAUCCGCCGAUGCCUCUGAAGCGCCGGGAGGAGCACCAUCAAGGCCGAGGGCCCUCGCGUCCUCGGCGCCGAAUAGCGUCGCUGCCACGGCUGUGCGUCAUGGUCUCGCCGUUGGGGCGAGCAUGGCGUCGUCGGUCCUCUUCUCUUGUUCUUCUUCCAUUCCUUUUCGCUUGUUGCGUGGCCUAAUGCUCUCGGUAGAGGCGUGCGUGAUAACGUGUAAAAGAGGAAAAAAGGAAGAGAGAGAGGGAACGAACGAUUGGAAUGAACAGUUAUCCUAUUGAUUGAAGAUUGGGGUAUUUAUACCCAGUUUACAAGGCGGUUACAAAAAGGAGGCAGUUGCCAAAAGUGGCACCGACAUAGCAG
RNAcentral lists this ribosomal RNA (790 nucleotides) under Triticum aestivum (bread wheat). RNAcentral's name for it is "partial small subunit ribosomal RNA". Lineage: Eukaryota; Viridiplantae; Streptophyta; Magnoliopsida; Poales; Poaceae. The record is from RNAcentral.